RNAcentral lists this ribosomal RNA (512 nucleotides) under uncultured bacterium. Its description in RNAcentral is "bacterial SSU rRNA". It matches the Rfam family "Bacterial small subunit ribosomal RNA", at positions 28 to 531 of the family's 1533-position model. The record is from RNAcentral.
GACGAACGCUGGCGGCGUGGAUUAGGCAUGCAAGUCGAACGGUAUCAUCCUUUCGGGGGUGAGAGAGUGGCGAACUGGUGAGUAACACGUAGGUUAUCUACCCUCAAGACGGGGACAACCCAGGGAAACUUGGGCUAAUACCGGAUGUGAGCAACUUUUAGUUGUUUGAAAGGUGGCGUAAGCUGUCGCUUGGGGAUGAGCCUGCGUCCUAUUAGUUAGUUGGUGAGGUAACGGCUCACCUAGGCAAUGAUAGGUAGGCGGCCUUAACGGGUGUCGCCCACACUGGGAUUGAGAUACGGCCCAGACUCCUACGGGAGGCAGCAGUCGAGAAUAGUCUACAAUGGUCGGAAGACUGGAUAGUGCGACGCCGCGUGAACGAUGAAUCCCUUCGGGGUGUAAAGUUCUUUUAUAUGUGAGCAGUGCUUCUUAUAUUAACAGUAUGGGGAGAGAGAUAUUAGCAUAUGAAUAAGCAACGGCUAACUCCGUGCCAGCAGCCGCGGUAAACUCGUUUA